RNAcentral lists this long non-coding RNA (236 nucleotides) under Homo sapiens (human). RNAcentral's name for it is "non-protein coding lnc-IFT46-1:6". Lineage: Eukaryota; Metazoa; Chordata; Mammalia; Primates; Hominidae. The record is from RNAcentral.
GCAAAACAAAAGAACUGUGUGAGUGCAAGUGGGAGACUUACCUUGCUGUCGUAAUACUUUUCCCGCUUGUCAGUCUGGAUGGAGCGGAUGACGUUGCCGGCAUACUCAAUCACCAUCUCACCUGCAUCAAUGUUUCUCUUACAGAAAAGACCCCGGCCAUGGAUGGGAGACCUAGGACAAAGAUGGAAAAGAGUGCUUGGCACCAGACAGCUGCUCAAUGAGGAACACAACUGCAU